AGAUCAUCACUGGGCAUAAAGCGUGCGCAGGCGGUUUUGUAAGACAGAGGUGAAAUCCCCGGGCUCAACCUGGGAACUGCCUUUGUGACUGCAAGGCUGGAGUGCGGCAGAGGGGGAUGGAAUUCCGCGUGUAGCAGUGAAAUGCGUAGAUAUGCGGAGGAACACCGAUGGCGAAGGCAAUCCCCUGGGCCUGCACUGACGCUCAUGCACGAAAGCGUGGGGAGCAAACA
This 230-nucleotide ribosomal RNA is filed under the name uncultured Alicycliphilus sp. RNAcentral's name for it is "partial 16S ribosomal RNA". It matches the Rfam family "Bacterial small subunit ribosomal RNA", at positions 550 to 774 of the family's 1533-position model. The record is from RNAcentral. Lineage: Bacteria; Pseudomonadati; Pseudomonadota; Betaproteobacteria; Burkholderiales; Comamonadaceae.